This 253-nucleotide ribosomal RNA is filed under the name uncultured bacterium. Its description in RNAcentral is "partial 16S ribosomal RNA". It matches the Rfam family "Bacterial small subunit ribosomal RNA", at positions 524 to 776 of the family's 1533-position model. The record is from RNAcentral.
UACGGAGGGUGCAAGCGUUAUCCGGAUUCACUGGGUUUAAAGGGUGCGUAGGCGGGCAAGUAAGUCAGUGGUGAAAUCUCCGGGCUUAGCUCGGAAACUGCCGUUGAUACUAUUUGUCUUGAAUAUCAUGGAGGUAAGCGGAAUAUGUCAUGUAGCGGUGAAAUGCUUAGAUAUGACAUAGAACACCGAUAGCGAAGGCAGCUUACUACAUGUUCAUUGACGCUGAGGCACGAAAGCGUGGGGAGCAAACAGG